GAUGAACGCUGGCGGCGUGCCUAAUACAUGCAAGUCGAGCGAACAGACGAGGAGCUUGCUCCUCUGACGUUAGCGGCGGACGGGUGAGUAACACGUGGAUAACCUACCUAUAAGACUGGGAUAACUUCGGGAAACCGGAGCUAAUACCGGAUAAAAUGUUGAACCGCAUGGUUUAACAGUGAAAGACGGUCUUGCUGUCACUUAUAGAUGGAUCCGCGCCGCAUUAGCUAGUUGGUAAGGUAACGGCUUACCAAGGCAACGAUGCGUAGCCGACCUGAGAGGGUGAUCGGCCACACUGGAACUGAGACACGGUCCAGACUCCUACGGGAGGCAGCAGUAGGGAAUCUUCCGCAAUGGGCGAAAGCCUGACGGAGCAACGCCGCGUGAGUGAAGAAGGUCUUCGGAUCGUAAAACUCUGUUAUUAGGGAAGAACAAAUGUGUAAGUAACUAUGCACGUCUUGACGGUACCUAAUCAGAAAGCCACGGCUAACUACGUG
RNAcentral lists this ribosomal RNA (497 nucleotides) under uncultured bacterium. RNAcentral's name for it is "partial 16S ribosomal RNA". It matches the Rfam family "Bacterial small subunit ribosomal RNA", at positions 28 to 507 of the family's 1533-position model. The record is from RNAcentral.